This 460-nucleotide ribosomal RNA is filed under the name uncultured bacterium. RNAcentral's name for it is "partial 16S ribosomal RNA". It matches the Rfam family "Bacterial small subunit ribosomal RNA", at positions 338 to 795 of the family's 1533-position model. The record is from RNAcentral.
CCUACGGGAGGCAGCCGUGAGGAAUAUUGGUCAAUGGACGAGAGUCUGAACCAGCCAAGUAGCGUGAAGGAUGACUGCCCUAUGGGUUGUAAACUUCUUUUAUAUGGGAAUAAAACGUUCCACGUGUGGGAUUUUGUAUGUACCAUAUGAAUAAGGAUCGGCUAACUCCGUGCCAGCAGCCGCGGUAAUACGGAGGAUCCGAGCGUUAUCCGGAUUUAUUGGGUUUAAAGGGAGCGUAGGUGGAUUGUUAAGUCAGUUGUGAAAGUUUGCGGCUCAACCGUAAAAUUGCAGUUGAAACUGGCAGUCUUGAGUACAGUAGAGGUGGGCGGAAUUCGUGGUGUAGCGGUGAAAUGCUUAGAUAUCACGAAGAACUCCGAUUGCGAAGGCAGUUCACUGGACUGCAACUGACACUGAGGCUCGAAAGUGUGGGUAUCAAACAGGAUUAGAUACCCGUGUAGUC